AAAAUAUAAACACGUAUCGAAUUGCAAUAAAUAGUGCUGCGGUGUAAAUUUAAUAAGCAAAUCGGAAAGGGAAAACAUAAACACCAUCAAAGUGAGUCACGAUAGCGAUAACGCUGUCCCUAAACUGUGUCUGUGGUUAUUUUUGUGAAAGUAUUUAUAAUUUAUUAUUAGAACGUUAUUCAAUCUACAAUUAGUUAUUUAACUUAGAAAUCCAUUAGGUAUUAUGGGGAAAUAAUUGAAAGGGUGUAUAAAAGAAGGUAACAUUUUUUUUCCUUACCUCUACCCUAGUAAGUUCUUGACGGGGGUUUAAGGGUUUAUAAUUCAUUGGAACUUCGCUGUUAUCAAAUUUGGUUUCAGUGGAAUUAAAAACGAAAAACAAAACGCAUACUUGCUUGGAGAGAUCAUGAGACAGUACGUUCCGGACAAUUAUUACCGCCGUCGGAAACAUAACCUUUUUGUUGUGCGUUCGGCUCGCACUGUCCAUCGUCAACAAGCUCCCAUUCUCCGGUUACUCUCGCUUAAUGGGUUUCUCGACUCUUCACCGGAGAGUGACCUAUUUGUGAAGCGUUUGGGGGUAAUAUGCUUGGAAAAGAUUAGACGAUUUACUAUCAAUUUUGUAAAUAUCUUAAUUGUAUUCUAUUUUAGUUAGAAUUUGGCCAUGCAUGAGCUAUAAAUAAAUAAUAUUAUAAUUUAA
Molecule: long non-coding RNA, 694 nt
Organism: Pieris brassicae (large cabbage white)
Lineage: Eukaryota; Metazoa; Arthropoda; Insecta; Lepidoptera; Pieridae
Exons: 2
Source: RefSeq, a predicted model, not a curated record